CAACCCUCCGUGCCUCCCUCCUCCUUGUCACCUUCCCAAAAGCCAGGCGCAGGCGAGCAGAGCCAACAGCAACAAGUUCAAAAAGUCCAAAGAUGCCGGUUCAUCCUUGUGGUCUUCCCACCCUUGUAUACUGUAUGGUACCGAUUAAGUGGGAGGCAAAGAGACAAACUCAGCCACACAAUACUGAAUUCAUCACCAUAGUCUUCAAACCACAUCAGCUUCUGUUUUCCGCUCCUGACAAGUGAAGACCAGAAAAACCUGCAUCACCUGUCCUCGCAGACUCUCAGGGACCCAAGAGAAUCUAAACAGAAGGCCCAAGUCAUCCGGACUAUGCAGAAUGUGUGGUAAAGGUUGCCAUUGAGCUAAUGAAUGCAGAACCAAAAGGGACAUGUAAGGUAACCCUAUGACAUUGAGAAGCACCUUAGAGAGUCUCUGGGAGGUCCCAAAGUUAAAUUUGGUUCAGUCAUCCCCAUCAGCAUUGGGUGUAUCCAGAAACUUCUUGUUCCACCUGCCAGUUCCCAAAUAACCCAUCUAAGACUUAAUAUUGAUUACAAUAGCUUGGCCAAUUGCUCAGGCAUAUCACUGGCUACCUCUCACAAUUAAAUUAACCUUCCUAUUGUUUUUAUAUUAUACCAUGAGGCUUUUGGCCUGUUACCUCAUUCUGCCUUCUCUUUCUCCAUAACUGUGUUUGGAUUAUAGACAAGCUCUUGGUGAUAGAAAGAAUAUAAUAAAGC
Mesocricetus auratus (golden hamster) is the source of this 734-nucleotide long non-coding RNA. RefSeq lists it as uncharacterized. The transcript has 3 exons. The record is from RefSeq and is a predicted model, not a curated record. NCBI's taxonomy places the organism in Eukaryota, Metazoa, Chordata, Mammalia, Rodentia, Cricetidae.